AACGAACGCUGGCGGCAUGCCUAACACAUGCAAGUCGAACGAACCCUUCGGGGUUAGUGGCGCACGGGUGCAUAACGCGUGGGAACCUGCCUUUAGGUUCGGAAUAACUCAGAGAAAUUUGAGCUAAUACCGGAUAAUGUCUUCGGACCAAAGAUUUAUCGCCUUUAGAUGGGCCCGCGUUAGAUUAGAUAGUUGGUGGGGUAAUGGCCUACCAAGUCGACGAUCUAUAGCUGGUCUGAGAGGAUGAUCAGCCACACUGGGACUGAGACACGGCCCAGACUCCUACGGGAGGCAGCAGUGGGGAAUAUUGGACAAUGGGCGAAAGCCUGAUCCAGCAAUGCCGCGUGAGUGAUGAAGGCCUUAGGGUUGUAAAGCUCUUUUACCAGGGAUGAUAAUGACAGUACCUGGAGAAUAAGCUCCGGCUAACUCCGUG
Molecule: ribosomal RNA, 433 nt
Filed under: uncultured Alphaproteobacteria bacterium
Lineage: Bacteria; Pseudomonadati; Pseudomonadota; Alphaproteobacteria
Description: bacterial SSU rRNA
Rfam family: Bacterial small subunit ribosomal RNA
Source: RNAcentral